This 367-nucleotide long non-coding RNA is filed under the name Hordeum vulgare. RNAcentral describes it as "long non-coding RNA (HVUL_LNC000085)". The record is from RNAcentral. Lineage: Eukaryota; Viridiplantae; Streptophyta; Magnoliopsida; Poales; Poaceae.
GACUAUCUCUGCACCAUCGUGUCGGCUGCGUGGCCGUCUUCCAACCUCCAGCUCAUGCUCCGGCUUCUCGAGCCAUGGCUGAACGCGGCGGAAUGAUCCGACGCCUCGGUCAUCUCCUCGGGCCUCAUAUGGGAGGACGAGGCGUGAGAGCUCGCCGAAUGAUCGCGGCCAAAGCAGGCGAACAUAUUGCGGAAGACGCGUCGAAUUGCGCUCCUCUCAGUCGACCGGCUCUGCCUUGACCCCCACGAGAUCCUCCUCGGUGCGCCGCCGUGGUUGAAACCGCCGUCCAUCUCCGUGUAAACGACCGGGAGCUCCCUCUCCUCGGGUCUCCUCCCGCCGGCAAACCUCCCGACGGCGAACCCGCCUC